UACCACGGAGGUUACCUGCUU
RNAcentral lists this non-coding RNA (21 nucleotides) under Mus musculus (house mouse). Lineage: Eukaryota; Metazoa; Chordata; Mammalia; Rodentia; Muridae. The record is from RNAcentral.